RNAcentral lists this ribosomal RNA (670 nucleotides) under uncultured bacterium. Its description in RNAcentral is "bacterial SSU rRNA". It matches the Rfam family "Bacterial small subunit ribosomal RNA", at positions 728 to 1397 of the family's 1533-position model. The record is from RNAcentral.
UCUGGACUGACACUGACACUGAGGUGCGAAAGCGUGGGUAGCAAACAGGAUUAGAUACCCUGGUAGUCCACGCCGUAAACGAUGUCGACCAGCCGUUGGGUGCCUAGCGCACUUUGUGGCGAAGUUAACGCGAUAAGUCGACCGCCUGGGGAGUACGGCCGCAAGGUUAAAACUCAAAUGAAUUGACGGGGGCCCGCACAAGCGGUGGAGCAUGUGGUUUAAUUCGAUGCAACGCGAAGAACCUUACCUACUCUUGACAUCCUGCGAACUUGUGAGAGAUCACUUGGUGCCUUCGGGAGCGCAGAGACAGGUGCUGCAUGGCUGUCGUCAGCUCGUGUUGUGAAAUGUUGGGUUAAGUCCCGUAACGAGCGCAACCCUUGUCCUUAUUUGCCAGCGGGUAAUGCCGGGAACUCUAAGGAGACUGCCGGUGACAAACCGGAGGAAGGUGGGGACGACGUCAAGUCAUCAUGGCCCUUACGAGUAGGGCUACACACGUGCUACAAUGGCCGGUACAAAGGGUUGCGAGCUCGCGAGAGUCAGCUAAUCCCGAAAAGCCGGUCUCAGUCCGGAUCGGAGUCUGCAACUCGACUCCGUGAAGUCGGAAUCGCUAGUAAUCGUGAAUCAGAAUGUCACGGUGAAUACGUUCCCGGGCCUUGUACACACCGCCCGU